UACGAAGGGUGCAAGCGUUGUUCGGAAUUAUUGGGCGUAAAGGGUUCGUAGGUGGGAAGAUAAGUCAAGUGUGAAAUCCCUGAGCUUAACUUAGGACGUGCAUUUGAAACUGUUUUUCUUGAGUAUUAGAGAGGGUCGUGGAAUUGCUGGUGUAGGAGUGAAAUCCGUAGAUAUCAGCAGGAACACCAGAGGCGAAGGCGGCGACCUGGCUAAAUACUGACACUGAGGAACGAAAGCGUGGGGAGCAAACAGG
This 253-nucleotide ribosomal RNA is filed under the name uncultured bacterium. RNAcentral describes it as "partial 16S ribosomal RNA". It matches the Rfam family "Bacterial small subunit ribosomal RNA", at positions 524 to 776 of the family's 1533-position model. The record is from RNAcentral.